ACCCAGCUUCCAGGAAGAGCCUCUAAGUUUCAGUCAUAGAGUGACCGUACCGCAAACCGACACAGGUGGGCUGGUAGAGAAUACCAAGGCGCUUGAGAGAACUCAGGAGAAGGAACUCGGCAAAUUGAUACCGUAACUUCGGGAGAAGGUAUGCCCCUGGUACGUGAAGGCCCUUGCGGCCGGAGCGGAACGGGGUCGCAGAGAAUCGGUGGCUGCGACUGUUUAUUAAAAACACAGCACUCUGCAAACACGAAGGUGGACGUAUAGGGUGUGACGCCUGCCCGGUGCCGGAGGGUUAAGUGAUGGGGUGCAAGCUCUUGAUCGAAGCCCCGGUAAACGGCGGCCGUAACGAUAACGGUCCUAAGGUAGCGAAAUUCCUUGUCGGGUAAGUUCCGACCUGCACGAAUGGCGUAACGAUGGCCACACUGUCUCCUCCUGAGACUCAGCGAAGUUGAAAUGUUUGUGAAGAUGCAAUCUCCCCGCGGCUAGACGGAAAGACCCCAUGAACCUUUACUGUAGCUUUGCAUUGGACUUUGACGGGACUUGUGUAGGAUAGGUGGGAGGCUAUGAAACCGGGACGCCAGUUCCGGUGGAGCCAUCCUUGAAAUACCACCCUGGUGUCGUCGAGGUUCUAACCCAGGCCUGUGAAUCCAGGUCGGGGACCGUGCAUGGUGGGCAGUUUGACUGGGGCGGUCUCCUCCCAAAAGGUAACGGAGGAGUACGAAGGUCACCUAGGUACGGUCGGACAUCGUACUGAUAGUGCAAUGGCAAAAGGUGGCUUGACUGCGAGACCCACACGUCGAGCAGGUGCGAAAGCAGGUCAUAGUGAUCCGGUGGUUCUGUAUGGAAGGGCCAUCGCUCAACGGAUAAAAGGUACUCUGGGGAUAACAGGCUGAUUCCGCCCAAGAGUUCACAUCGACGGCGGAGUUUGGCACCUCGAUGUCGGCUCAUCACAUCCUGGGGCUGUAGCCGGUCCCAAGGGUAUGGCUGUUCGCCAUUUAAAGUGGUACGUGAGCUGGGUUUAAAACGUCGUGAGACAGUUUGGUCCCUAUCUGCCGUGGGCGCUGGAAGUUUGAGAGGGCCUGCUCCUAGUACGAGAGGACCGGAGUGGACGCACCCCUGGUGUACCGGUUGUGACGCCAGUCGCAUCGCCGGGUAGCUAUGUGCGGAAGAGAUAACCGCUGAAAGCAUCUAAGCGGGAAACUCGCCUCAAGAUGAGACUUCCCCGGGGCCUCGAGCCCCCUGAAGGGUCGUUGAAGACCACAACGUUGAUAGGCCGGGUGUGUAAGCGUGGCAACACGUUCAGCUAACCGGUACUAAUUGCCCGUGUGGCUUGAUCCU
This 1341-nucleotide ribosomal RNA is filed under the name metagenome. RNAcentral's name for it is "bacterial LSU rRNA". It matches the Rfam family "Bacterial large subunit ribosomal RNA", at positions 1599 to 2925 of the family's 2925-position model. The record is from RNAcentral.